AUUGGAAGACAUUUUUUAUUUUAUUUCCCAAGACUGCAGGACUUCUGCGGUACGGACAUCUUGGACAUGGAACAGAUAAUGAGUAUAAUUUUAAGGACAGUUCUGUAAAAUUAGUGUAUGAAUCCCAGCCAUAUCCUCGGAUAAUUGUUUGUCUGGUGAAACAAUUGUCAAAGUGGUAUGUGGGACAAAUCACAAAAGUGUUUGUUUUUCUUAUUUUUUAUCUCAAUUAUUUAACCUUUUCUUUUAUCUAUUCAUUAUUACUUUUUGAAUGUUUAGUGACAGUGGAUAAGAAUGUUUUUGUCUACACAUGAUUAAUUCUUUAUUUAGUUCAGUAUCUUAACUCUAUAAUUCAAGUUAUAACUGUCGAUUAUCCAUCUGUGUAGCUUGGGAUUUGGUGAUUAUGAAAGGUUUGUGCAGAAUUUCAGAUUAGUUGUCAAUGUUUUGUAAAAUACAAAGAAAUCACAACAAUAUAUAUGAUGAUUCAAUUCAAAUUGAUUUUAUUUAUUUAUUUAUUUAUUUUGUUCUUCAUUUUUAUUCUGUUUUAGUUUACAAGUUUAUGAAUAUAUUCUUCAUUUAGUUUAUUUUUUUCAUAAAUACUAUUAUCACUUCUCAUUAGUAACAUUUAUCAUGUUUCAUGGCAAUAUAUUAGGACAACAGAGAGGAAAGCAAGCUUGAUUCAACCAAUGCCCAUACUACAGAAGACAAUUGAAUAUCUACUUUCUCUGCUAGAUCAGUCCUAUGAUGAGAGACUUCUUGGUGCAUAUAAAUUCUUGUGGAAUAGAAUGAGAACAAUUCGAAUGAACCUGAGAAUGCAGCAAAUUUUCAAUCAAGGGGGCUAUUACUAUGCUUGAAUACGUACUUUUUUAUUUUUAACAAAAGUAUAAUAAAACCCAAUUUUUCUCUUAUUUAAGUGGACAAAGUUUCAUACCCUAUGAGGAAGACAUCGAGUGAAGGCAUCUUGGUCAUGGUAACCCUACCUUCUUCUCCGGUUGCAGCAUCAGUUUUUGGGGACAUGCCCCGACUCAAUUUGUUUAAAGAGGAGGAGGAAGAAGAAUAGGAGCUAAAUAACUAGCUAGCUAGUAGUGUUCUGUUUGAUUAAGGGUUCUAAAUGAAUGUGUUUGAUAAAACCACUAUGUAUUCAUUUAUCUAUUUUUAUAAUUGUGAAUCAGUUUACUCUUUUUUACAUCACUUUAAUUUU
Arachis ipaensis is the source of this 1198-nucleotide non-coding RNA. The record is from RefSeq and is a predicted model, not a curated record. NCBI's taxonomy places the organism in Eukaryota, Viridiplantae, Streptophyta, Magnoliopsida, Fabales, Fabaceae.